CUACGGGAGGCAGCAGUGGGGAAUUUUGGACAAUGGGGGCAACCCUGAUCCAGCCAUGCCGCGUGCGGGAAGAAGGCCUUCGGGUUGUAAACCGCUUUUGUCAGGGAAGAAAAGCUCUGGGUUAAUACCCUGGGGUGCUGACGGUACCUGAAGAAUAAGCACCGGCUAACUACGUGCCAGCAGCCGCGGUAAUACGUAGGGUGCGAGCGUUAAUCGGAAUUACUGGGCGUAAAGCGUGCGCAGGCGGUCAUGCAAGACGGAUGUGAAAUCCCCGGGCUCAACCUGGGAACUGCAUUCGUGACUGCAUGACUGGAGUGUGGCAGAGGGGAAUGGAAUUCCGCGUGUAGCAGUGAAAUGCGUAGAUAUGCGGAGGAACACCGAUGGCGAAGGCAGUUCCCUGGGCCUGCACUGACGCUCAUGCACGAAAGCGUGGGGAGCAAACAGGAUUAGAUACCCCAGUAGUCC
This 465-nucleotide ribosomal RNA is filed under the name uncultured bacterium. RNAcentral's name for it is "bacterial SSU rRNA". It matches the Rfam family "Bacterial small subunit ribosomal RNA", at positions 339 to 796 of the family's 1533-position model. The record is from RNAcentral.